Long non-coding RNA from Mya arenaria, 241 nucleotides. RefSeq lists it as uncharacterized. The record is from RefSeq and is a predicted model, not a curated record. NCBI's taxonomy places the organism in Eukaryota, Metazoa, Mollusca, Bivalvia, Myida, Myidae. The transcript is spliced from 3 exons.
CGCAGAGUACCCGCAUUGUAACACAGUUUACUCGCGUGUGAUUUGUUUUUCGAAGGUUUGCUUAGUUUAAGCCUGAAACUCGAUACAGAUUUUAUUUCUAUUAUGCUGCACUACAUGUCUGUCCGGCCUACUUAAAACGCUUUCCAGACGAGUUCUGAAGUGAGUCGGAUUAAUAUUCCGUAAUGCGACAGAAGAAGUCCACACUUUCGCUCCAUAGACCCAAACAUAAACGAACUGGAAG